GACGAACGCUGGCGGCGUGCUUAACACAUGCAAGUCGAACGGAAAGGCCCUGCUUUUGUGGGGUGCUCGAGUGGCGAACGGGUGAGUAACACGUGAGUAACCUGCCCUUGACUUUGGGAUAACUUCAGGAAACUGGGGCUAAUACCGGAAGGAGCUCCUGCUGCAUGGUGGGGGUUGGAAAGUUUCGGCGGUUGGGGAUUGACUCGCGGCUUAUCAGCUUGUUGGUGGGGUAGUGGCUUACCAAGGCUUUGACGGGUAGCCGGCCUGAGAGGGUGACCGGCCACAUUGGGACUGAGAUACGGCCCAGACUCCUACGGGAGGCAGCAGUGGGGAAUAUUGCACAAUGGGCGGAAGCCUGAUGCAGCAACGCCGCGUGCGGGAUGACGGCCUUCGGGUUGUAAACCGCUUUCGCCUGUGACGAAGCGUGAGUGACGGUAAUGGGUAAAGAAGCACCGGCUAACUACGUG
RNAcentral lists this ribosomal RNA (467 nucleotides) under uncultured bacterium. RNAcentral's name for it is "partial 16S ribosomal RNA". It matches the Rfam family "Bacterial small subunit ribosomal RNA", at positions 28 to 507 of the family's 1533-position model. The record is from RNAcentral.